RNAcentral lists this ribosomal RNA (253 nucleotides) under uncultured bacterium. Its description in RNAcentral is "partial 16S ribosomal RNA". It matches the Rfam family "Bacterial small subunit ribosomal RNA", at positions 524 to 776 of the family's 1533-position model. The record is from RNAcentral.
UACGGAGGAGGCAAGCGUUAUCCGGAAUUAUUGGGCGUAAAGAGUCCGUAGGUGGGUAACCAAGUCAGCUGUUAAAUAGUGAAGCUUAACUUCAUAGAGGCGGCUGAAACUGGUUGUCUAGAGUGUGGUAGGGGUAGAGGGAAUUUCCAGUGUAGCGGUGAAAUGCGUAGAUAUUGGAAAGAACACCGGUGGCGAAAGCGCUCUACUGGGCCUGCACUGACACUGAGGGGCGAAAGCUAGGGGAGCGAAAGGG